This 500-nucleotide ribosomal RNA is filed under the name uncultured bacterium. Its description in RNAcentral is "partial 16S ribosomal RNA". It matches the Rfam family "Bacterial small subunit ribosomal RNA", at positions 29 to 523 of the family's 1533-position model. The record is from RNAcentral.
AUUGAACGCUGGCGGCAUGCCUUACACAUGCAAGUCGAACGGCAGCGCGGACUUCGGUCUGGCGGCGAGUGGCGAACGGGUGAGUAAUACAUCGGAACGUACCCUGUUGUGGGGGAUAACUGGUCGAAAGAUUAGCUAAUACCGCAUACGACCUGAGGGUGAAAGUGGGGGACCGCAAGGCCUCACGCAGCAGGAGCGGCCGAUGUCUGAUUAGCUAGCUGGUGGGGUAAAGGCCCACCAAGGCGACGAUCAGUAGCUGGUCUGAGAGGACGAUCAGCCACACUGGGACUGAGACACGGCCCAGACUCCUACGGGAGGCAGAAGUGGGGAAUUUUGGACAAUGGGGGCAACCCUGAUCCAGCAAUGCCGCGUGUGUGAAGAAGGCCUUCGGGUUGUAAAGCACUUUUGUCCGGAAAGAAAUCGCGCUGGUUAAUACCUGGCGUGGAUGACGGUACCGGAAGAAUAAGCACCGGCUAACUACGUGCCAGCAGCCGCGGUAA